Molecule: ribosomal RNA, 460 nt
Filed under: uncultured bacterium
Lineage: Bacteria
Description: partial 16S ribosomal RNA
Rfam family: Bacterial small subunit ribosomal RNA
Source: RNAcentral
CCUACGGGUGACAGCAGUGAGGAAUAUUGGUCAAUGGGCGCGAGCCUGAACCAGCCAAGUAGCGUGAAGGAUGACUGCCCUACGGGUUGUAAACUUCUUUUAUAAAGGAAUAAAGUGAGGCACGUGUGCCUUUUUGUAUGUAUUUUAUGAAUAAGGAUCGGCUAACUCCGUGCCAGCAGCCGCGGUAAUACGGAGGAUCCGAGCGUUAUCCGGAUUUAUUGGGUUUAAAGGGAGCGUAGAUGGGUUGUUAAGUCAGUUGUGAAAGUUUGCGGCUCAAACGUAAAAUUGCAAUUGAUACUGGCAGUCUUGAGUACAGUUGAGGUAGGCGGAAUUCGUGGUGUAGCGGUGAAAUGCUUAGAUAUCACGAAGAACUCCGAUUGCGAAGGCAGCCUACUAAACUGCCACUGACAUUGAUGCUCGAAAGUGUGGGUAUCAAACAGGAUUAGAUACCCUAGUAGUC